GAUGAAGAACGUAGCGAAAUGCGAUAAGUAAUGUGAAUUGCAGAAUUCAGUGAAUCAUCGAAUCUUUGAACGCACAUUGCGCCCCCUGGUAUUCCGGGGAGCAUGCCUGUCCGAGCGUCAUUACAACCCUCAAGCUCAGCUUGGUGUUGGGCCCCGCCGCCCCGGCGGGCCCUAAAGUCAGUGGCGGUGCCGUCCGGCUCCGAGCGUAGUAAUUCUUCUCGCUCUGGAGGUCCGGUCGUGUGCUCGCCAGCAACCCCCAAUUUUUUUCAGGUUGACCUCGGAUCAGGUAGGGAUACCCGCUGAACUUAAGCAUAUCAAUAAGCGGAGGA
This 329-nucleotide unclassified non-coding RNA is filed under the name soil metagenome. RNAcentral describes it as "partial contains 5.8S ribosomal RNA, internal transcribed spacer 2, and large subunit ribosomal RNA". The stretch from base 1 to 120 matches the Rfam family "5.8S ribosomal RNA", at positions 35 to 154 of the family's 154-position model. The record is from RNAcentral.